AUUUAGAAUGUUAAGUUUUGUGCCUGAGUAGUAUUAGUUAUGUUCUUGAAACUUAAAGAAUUUGGCGGUAUCUCAUUCCGUCCAGAGGAAUCUGUCCCGUUAUCGAUAGUCCACGUUGGACCUUACUUAUUUGAUUUUGGUUUGUAUACCGCCGUUUAUUGUUUAUCUUUUUAGAGGUGUAUAAUUUUCUGGUUUCUUUAUUUUGAUGUAUUUCAGGUCAAGGUGCAGCUUGUUUUUAAGUGGAGUGAUGGAUUACAGUGUAAUUUGUUUGUGGAUUAUUGAUUUUAAUAUUAAUAUGAAAUUGGAUUUGGUUGUAAUAAUUUGUAGAUUGUUAUUAUGAUAAUUGGUUCUGAGAUAUGCACACAUCGCCCGUCGCUCUCGUUUGUUUUGUUAUAAUGAGA
Molecule: ribosomal RNA, 401 nt
Filed under: Trinervitermes trinervius
Lineage: Eukaryota; Metazoa; Arthropoda; Insecta; Blattodea; Termitidae
Description: partial small subunit ribosomal RNA
Source: RNAcentral